CAAUAGCGUAUAUUAAAGUUGUUGCAGUUAAAACGCUCGUAGUUGGAUUUCUGGUGGGAGCGAUCGGUCUGGCGCUUAGCGCGAGUACUUGCAUCGUCUCCGGCCAUCCUUGGGGAGAGUCUGUCUGGCAUUAGGUUGUCGGGCAGAGGAUCCUCAUCGUUUACUGUGAAAAAAUUAGAGUGUUCAAAGCAGGCUUAUGCCGUUGAAUAUAUUAGCAUGGAAUAAUAAGAUAGGACUUUGGUACUAUUUUGUUGGUUUGCGCACCAAAGUAAUGAUUAAUAGGGACAGUUGGGGGUAUUCGUAUUCCGUUGUCAGAGGUGAAAUUCUUGGAUUUACGGAAGACGAACUACUGCGAAAGCAUUUACCAAGGAUGUUUUCAUUAA
Molecule: ribosomal RNA, 383 nt
Filed under: uncultured eukaryote
Lineage: Eukaryota
Description: partial 18S ribosomal RNA
Rfam family: Eukaryotic small subunit ribosomal RNA
Source: RNAcentral